AUUGAACGCUGGCGGAAUGCUUUACUCAUGCAAGUCGAACGGCAGCACGGGAGCUUGCUCCUGGUGACGAGUGGCGAACGGGUGAGUAACAUAUCGGAACGUACCUAGUAAUGGGGGAUAACUAGUCGAAAGAAUAGCUAAUACCGCAUACGCCCUGAGGGGGAAAGCGGGGGAUCGUAAGACCUCGCGUUAUUAAAGCGGCCGAUAUCUGAUUAGCUAGUUGGUGGGGUAAAAGCCUACCAAGCCGACGAUCAGUAGCUGGUCUGAGAGGACGACCAGCCACACUGGAACUGAGACACGGUCCAGACUCCUACCGGAGGCAGCAGUGGGGAAUUUUGGACAAUGGGCGCAAGCCUGAUCCAGCCAUUCCGCGUGAGUGAAGAAAGCCUUCGGGUUGUAAAGCUCUUUCGCAAGGGAAGAAACGAUGCAGUCAAAUAAACUGCGUUAAUGACGGUACCUUGAUAAGAAGCACCGGCUAACUACGUGCUAGCAGCCGCGGUAAUACGUAGGGUGCGAGCGUUAAUCGGAAUUACUGGGCGUAAAGCGUGCGCAGGCGUUUUUGUAAGUCAGAUGUGAAAUCCCCGGGCUCAACCUGGGAACUGCGUUUGAAACUACAGGGCUAGAGUGUAGCAGAGGGGGGUAGAAUUCCACGUGUAGCAGUGAAAUGCGUAGAGGUGUGGAGGAAUACCAAUGGCGAAAGCAGCCCCCUGGGUUAACACUGACGCUCAUGCACGUAAGCGUGGGGAGCAAACAGGAUUAGAUACCCUGGUAGUCCGCGCCCUAAACGAUG
This 790-nucleotide ribosomal RNA is filed under the name uncultured bacterium. RNAcentral's name for it is "bacterial SSU rRNA". It matches the Rfam family "Bacterial small subunit ribosomal RNA", at positions 28 to 811 of the family's 1533-position model. The record is from RNAcentral.